ACCAACUUCAAAUCCUGUUUCAAACAUCUUAAAAAAAAUUGGUGCUGGAAACAAAAGCAAGAGAAACUUAAUCUGGAGACAUGGGAAUAGAAGAGCCCUUUGGCAAAGAAUCACACAAGUAUGUCUGGAGAAGAGCAAAAUCCUAGGAAGAAGACAUCCACCAAGUACUCAAAAGCAGAGAGUCACACAGGAGCUGACUGCAGAGCUGGGUCUCAUCUUUCCACAAACAACCCCUCAGCACCCCAGGGGUACUGCUGGGGAGAAGAGAGACAGUUGCCAACUGCUUCAGUUAUGGAGGACUGGGGUUGUGCAGAUGUCCACAGAUGUAAAAUUGCUCCUUAAACUGCUCCCAGAUAAAUAGGUCAGCAAGUGGUUACUUCCUAAGCACUUUGGAUUCCUCAGAAACCAAUUAUUUUUAUUUCAGAAGCUGUGACUCCUAGUAAGCCUGUGCCUAGCUCAGAAGUGUAGCUGAAAGCAUCAGUACUCUAAAUUAAGAGCAAGAUCUAAUUGAUUAGUUUCACAAAAAUAUGAGAGCCAAACUGAAGCAAUAUGCAAGUUUUCAUUGCCUUGACUCUUUAAAGCAUAAAUGCUUGGUUUUUAAUAUUGCUUCUCAAUAAAUAUUCUUUUU
RNAcentral lists this long non-coding RNA (628 nucleotides) under Numida meleagris (helmeted guineafowl). Its description in RNAcentral is "lncRNA (ENSNMEG00000015554.1)". The record is from RNAcentral. Lineage: Eukaryota; Metazoa; Chordata; Aves; Galliformes; Numididae.